GACGAACGCUGGCGGCGUGCUUAACACAUGCCAGUCGAACGGAAAGGCCUGCUUUCCCUUGUGGAUUGCGAGUACUCGAGUGGCGAACGGGUGAGUAACACGUGAGUGAUCUGCCCCCAACUUGGGUAUAAGCCUGGGAAACUGGGUCUAAUUCCCGAUAGGACUGCAGGGUGGUGCCUGUGGUGGAAAACGAUUUUCUAGUGGUUGGGGAUGAGCUCGCGGCCUAUCAGCUUGUUGGUGGGGUAAUGGCCUACCAAGGCGGCGACGGGUAGCCGGCCUGGGAGGGUGGACGGCCACAUUGGGACUGAGAUACGGCCCAGACUCCUACGGGAGGCAGCAGUGGGGAAUAUUGCACAAUGGGCGGAAGCCUGAUGCAGCGACGCCGCGUGGGGGAUGACGGCCUUCGGGUUGUAAACUCCUUUCGACCGCGAGGAAGCCACCUGGUUGGAAGGGUGGUGACGGUAGUGGUAGAAGAAGCACCGGCUAACUACGUG
This 494-nucleotide ribosomal RNA is filed under the name uncultured bacterium. RNAcentral describes it as "partial 16S ribosomal RNA". It matches the Rfam family "Bacterial small subunit ribosomal RNA", at positions 28 to 507 of the family's 1533-position model. The record is from RNAcentral.